UCCCUGAUGGCCCAGACGGUAAAGCGUCUGCCUACAAUGCUGGAGACCCAGGUUCGAUCCCUGGGUUGGGAA
Molecule: non-coding RNA, 72 nt
Organism: Bos taurus (domestic cattle)
Lineage: Eukaryota; Metazoa; Chordata; Mammalia; Artiodactyla; Bovidae
Source: Rfam